AGGGCACCACCAGGAGUGGAGCCUGCGGCUUAAUCUGACUCAACACGGGAAAACUCACCCGGCCCGGACACUGGAAGGAUUGACAGAUUGAGAGCUCUUUCUUGAUUCAGUGGGUGGUGGUGCAUGGCCGUUCUUAGUUGGUGGAGUGAUUUGUCUGGUUAAUUCCGAUAACGAACGAGACUCUAGCCUACUAAAUAGAUAGUCGGCUUACAAACGUCGACUAGACUUCUUAGAGGGACAGGCGGUGAUUCAACCGCACGAAACAGAGCAAUAACAGGUCUGUGAUGCCCUUAGAUGUCCGGGGCCGCACGCGCGCUACACUGAAGUGAUCAGCGUGCUUUUUCAGCCUACUCUGUCAAGAGUGGGAAACCCAAUGAACCUUCUUCGUGAUUGGGAUAGGGGAUUGUAAUUAUUCCCCUUGAACGAGGAAUUCCCAGUAAGCGCGAGUCAUAAGCUCGCGUUGAUUACGUCCCUGCCCUUUGUACACACCGCCCGUCGCUACUACCGAUUGAAUGUUUU
RNAcentral lists this ribosomal RNA (519 nucleotides) under uncultured eukaryote. Its description in RNAcentral is "SSU rRNA". It matches the Rfam family "Eukaryotic small subunit ribosomal RNA", at positions 1161 to 1699 of the family's 1831-position model. The record is from RNAcentral.